CUUGACAUCCAGAGAAUUUAGCAGAGAUGCUUUAGUGCCUUCGGGAACUCUGAGACAGGUGCUGCACGGCUGUCGUCAGCUCGUGUUGUGAAAUGUUGGGUUAAGUCCCGNAACGAGCGCAACCCUUAUCCUUUGUUGCCAGCACGUAAUGGUGGGAACUCAAAGGAGACUGCCGGUGAUAAACCGGAGGAAGGUGGGGAUGACGUCAAGUCAUCAUGGCCCUUACGAGUAGGGCUACACACGUGCUACAAUGGCGCAUACAAAGAGAAGCGACCUCGCGAGAGCAAGCGGACCUCAUAAAGUGCGUCGUAGUCCGGAUUGGAGUCUGCAACUCGACUCCAUGAAGUCGGAAUCGCUAGUAAUCGUAAAUCAGAAUGUUACGGUGAAUACGUUCCCGGGCCUUGUACACACCGCCCGUCACACUAUGGGAGUGGGUUGCAAAAGAAGUAGAUAGCUUAACCUUCGGGAGGGCGUUUACCACUUUGUGAUUCAUGACUGGGGUGAAGUCGUAACAAGGUAGGCGUAGUGCU
Molecule: ribosomal RNA, 530 nt
Filed under: uncultured bacterium
Lineage: Bacteria
Description: bacterial SSU rRNA
Rfam family: Bacterial small subunit ribosomal RNA
Source: RNAcentral